Molecule: ribosomal RNA, 246 nt
Filed under: uncultured bacterium
Lineage: Bacteria
Description: partial 16S ribosomal RNA
Rfam family: Bacterial small subunit ribosomal RNA
Source: RNAcentral
AUAGUGAUAUGGAGCAAAACCCUAAAAGCGGUCUCAGUUCGGAUUGAAGGCUGAAAUUCGCCUUCAUGAAGCUGGAAUUGCUAGUAAUGGCAGGUCAGCAUACUGCCGUGAAUACGUUCCCGGGCCUUGUACACACCGCCCGUCACACCAUGAGAGUUGGAAAUACCCGAAGCCUGUGAGCUAACUGUAAAGAGGCAGCAGUCGAAGGUAGAGCCAAUGAUUGGGGUGAAGUCGUAACAAGGUAGC